CUGGGAAGAUAGGCAAUCGCCGCUGUAUGAAAAUGCAGGGGAGGAAAGUCCGGGCUUCAUAGGAGAGGAUGCCGGCGAAACGCCGGGGGCCGUAAGGCUACGGAAAGUGUAACAGAAAAUAUUCCGCUGACGCUUAUGCGACAGAGAGGCUGAAAAUUCUGACUUCGAGAGUCAGACACACGCAGGGAAACCCGCGGUGAUAUAAACCCCAUCCGAAGCAAGGAAAAGGAAAAGCACGAUGUCGUCUCCGCGACGCUUUUCCUCACAAUCCGCUCGAGGGCUGUGGCAACACAACCCCUAGACGAAUGAUUGUCCACGACAGAAUCCGGCUUAUCGUCUUCCCAGUGGU
RNAcentral lists this RNase P RNA (349 nucleotides) under Waddliaceae bacterium. Its description in RNAcentral is "RNase P RNA component class A". It matches the Rfam family "Bacterial RNase P class A". From Rfam's summary of the family: Ribonuclease P (RNase P) is a ubiquitous endoribonuclease, found in archaea, bacteria and eukarya as well as chloroplasts and mitochondria. Lineage: Bacteria; Pseudomonadati; Chlamydiota; Chlamydiia; Parachlamydiales; Waddliaceae. The record is from RNAcentral.